AACAUACUAAGUGAUCACUUUCAAAUUCAGAGAAACCCUGGAAUUAGAAAUGGGCAAUCCUGAGCCAAAUCCUGUUUUACGAAAAAACAAAAAAGAAUCAAAUCAAAAAAGGAUAGGUGCAGAGACUCAAUGGAAGCUGUUCUAAAAAAUGGAGUUGACUGCUGCAUCGCGUUAGUCAAGUCGAGGAAUCCUUGCAUCGAAACUUUUUCAAGGAUGAAGGAUAACCUUUCUUUCUAUAAAACUCUCAAAAUAAAAAGACUUUUUCAAUUAAUUGGAAGUUGAAGAAAGAAUCAAAUAUGAUUUAAUAAAAUCAUUUACUCCAAAGUCUGAUAUAUAUUUUUCAAAAUAGAUUAGUCAGACGAGAAUAAAGAUAGAGUCCCAUUCUAUAUGUCAGUA
RNAcentral lists this transfer RNA (396 nucleotides) under Melocarpum robecchii. RNAcentral's name for it is "partial tRNA-Leu". The stretch from base 1 to 221 matches the Rfam family "Group I catalytic intron", at positions 35 to 253 of the family's 253-position model. Rfam says of the family: Group I catalytic introns are large self-splicing ribozymes. They catalyse their own excision from mRNA, tRNA and rRNA precursors in a wide range of organisms. The core secondary structure consists of 9 paired regions (P1-P9). The record is from RNAcentral. Lineage: Eukaryota; Viridiplantae; Streptophyta; Magnoliopsida; Zygophyllales; Zygophyllaceae.